RNAcentral lists this ribosomal RNA (253 nucleotides) under uncultured bacterium. RNAcentral's name for it is "partial 16S ribosomal RNA". It matches the Rfam family "Bacterial small subunit ribosomal RNA", at positions 524 to 776 of the family's 1533-position model. The record is from RNAcentral.
UACGAAGGGGGCUAGCGUUGUUCGGAUUUACUGGGCGUAAAGCGCACGUAGGCGGAUUGUUAAGUCAGGGGUGAAAUCCUGGAGCUCAACUCCAGAACUGCCUUUGAUACUGAGGAUCUUGAGUUCGGGAGAGGUGAGUGGAACUGCGAGUGUAGAGGUGAAAUUCGUAGAUAUUCGCAAGAACACCAGUGGCGAAGGCGGCUCACUGGCCCGAUACUGACGCUGAGGCACGAAAGCGUGGGGAGCAAACAGG